ACUCCUACGGGAGGCAGCAGUGGGGAAUUUUGGACAAUGGGCGCAAGCCUGAUCCAGCCAUGCCGCGUGAGUGAAGAAGGCCUUCGGGUUGUAAAGCUCUUUCGGCCGGGAAGAAAUCGCAUGGGUCAAUACCCUGUGUGGAUGACGGUACCGGAAUAAGAAGCACCGGCUAACUACGUGCCAGCAGCCGCGGUAAU
Molecule: ribosomal RNA, 197 nt
Filed under: uncultured bacterium
Lineage: Bacteria
Description: partial 16S ribosomal RNA
Rfam family: Bacterial small subunit ribosomal RNA
Source: RNAcentral